Long non-coding RNA from Ipomoea nil (Japanese morning glory), 109 nucleotides. RefSeq lists it as uncharacterized. The transcript has 2 exons. The record is from RefSeq and is a predicted model, not a curated record. NCBI's taxonomy places the organism in Eukaryota, Viridiplantae, Streptophyta, Magnoliopsida, Solanales, Convolvulaceae.
CUCUUGCUAGUGCGACUGUGCGAGAACUCCGAUGACUUCAAAUGAUUUGUUACCAGUAUUAUUUAAUCCUAGGAAGAAGAAAUCAAGUGGAAUACAAUUACUGCUUUUU